This 226-nucleotide unclassified non-coding RNA is filed under the name Hevea brasiliensis (rubber tree). The record is from RNAcentral. Lineage: Eukaryota; Viridiplantae; Streptophyta; Magnoliopsida; Malpighiales; Euphorbiaceae.
UACCCUUCUCUGAUCGAAAGAAAUUUCUAAGACCACUAGUUAAUUCUUUCACACCUUCAUUCACAUACAUCAAUGCUUUCCUUCCAGAAGAAAGCAUGCGUCCAGACAAACCCAUACAUUAUUCUAAAAAUGUGCACCUUCAACUCCAAAGCAUACAACAAUACUACAAUACUAGGGUAAAAAUACUAUUCCGAUACUAGAAAUUUCUUUCGAUCAGAGAAGGGUA